GACGAACGCUGGCGGCGUGCUUAACACAUGCAAGUCGAACGCUGAAGCCUGGCUUUUGUUGGGUGGAUGAGUGGCGAACGGGUGAGUAACACGUGAGUAACCUGCCCUCUUCUUUGGGAUAACGCCCGGAAACGGGUGCUAAUACUGGAUAUUCACUUGCCUUCGCAUGGGGGUGGGUGGAAAGGGUUUUUUCUGGUGGGGGAUGGGCUCGCGGCCUAUCAGCUUGUUGGUGGGGUGAUGGCUUACCAAGGCUUUGACGGGUAGCCGGCCUGAGAGGGUGACCGGUCACAUUGGGACUGAGAUACGGCCCAGACUCCUACGGGAGGUAUCUUUUUGGGAAUAUUGCACAAUGGGCGCAAGCCUGAUGCAGCGACGCCCCGUGAGGGAUGGAGGCCUUCCGGUUGUGAACCUUUUUUCCCCCAUGGUCAAACCCCUCUCAUGGGUGUGGUGAUGUUAGUGGUAAAGAACGCCCGGGGUCCCCGAGCCAACAUCUACAUUAUCUCCAUUUACA
RNAcentral lists this ribosomal RNA (511 nucleotides) under uncultured Actinomyces sp. Its description in RNAcentral is "bacterial SSU rRNA". It matches the Rfam family "Bacterial small subunit ribosomal RNA", at positions 28 to 525 of the family's 1533-position model. The record is from RNAcentral. Lineage: Bacteria; Bacillati; Actinomycetota; Actinomycetes; Actinomycetales; Actinomycetaceae.